This 778-nucleotide long non-coding RNA is filed under the name Prunus persica (peach). RNAcentral's name for it is "long non-coding RNA (PPER_LNC000380)". Lineage: Eukaryota; Viridiplantae; Streptophyta; Magnoliopsida; Rosales; Rosaceae. The record is from RNAcentral.
UUGGUUUUGCCAUAAUAUAUAUAUAUAUAUAGUUCAAAUUCAUUAACAAAUUCAUUAACAACGCAAGUCUGACAAGAGAACAUUAUGGAUAUAACUUACGAGAACGUUAUUCCUACUUGUGUUUCAUCAAGCCUAGCCUAGAAACUUUCAAUUCACCCACGAAAGAAUAAACCCAAGGGAAUGCAUCGAGACCAUCAUGAUGUAUAUACAAGUGAUGCCCCAUAAAAGGGAAAUUUCUCAAUUCCCACCUUAUGAUUCUCUCAAAUCUAAGGUCCCGUUUGGUAACGUUUUAAGGGGUUGUUUUCAUUUUCAGAGAACAAAAAUAAGGCAAAAAACACAUUCAGUAGUCCAAAAACAAAAAAACACUAAGAAUGUCAAGUUAUCUUAAUUGAAUCUUUUUUCUGGGAAUUCCAAGUUAUCUGAGGGAACAUUUCUAUAGCCCGACCAGCUUUUUUCAUCGUGCGUAGUUGCUUGGCUUUAACCCUCUAUAUAUCAUCACAGUGUCAGUAAGUAUAUGUAUAUAUGAGUCUCCAUAAAGUAUGGAAAGCUCUAUUUCCUGUAACACAUAUACAACAUGUCAACAUGCCCAUGUGAUUGUCCUCUACAAAAGCCAAUUUUCCUUUUUUCCUUCUUCUUUCAGGUCCUCCAUUUAACUAAGAAAGAUAUUUGUAUAUCACCUUUUAAAGAAAAGCAACGACCUCUCUUAAUCACCAAAUAAAGGCAGUUUGUUGGUUUUCUGCUAUAAAGAGUAAUAAAUUUGGAGCAAGCACCAUGUUUA